AGGAUGAACGCUAGCGGCAUGCCUUACACAUGCAAGUCGUACGAAAACUUCGGUUUUAGUGGCAAACGGGUGAGUAAUGCGUGAGAAUCUACCUUUAAGAGGGGGAUAACACUUGGAAACAAGUGCUAAAACCCCAUAGGCCUUCGGGUGAAAAAGUUCUAACUGCUUAAAGAGGAGCUCACGUCUGAUUAGCUAGUUGGUGAGGUAAUGGCUCACCAAGGCGACGAUCAGUAACUGGUCUGAGAGGACGAUCAGUCACACUGGAACUGAGACACGGUCCAGACUCCUACGGGAGGCAGCAGUGGGGAAUUUCUACAAUGGACGGAAGUCUGAUAGAGACAAUCGCCGCGUA
Molecule: ribosomal RNA, 352 nt
Filed under: uncultured soil bacterium
Lineage: Bacteria
Description: bacterial SSU rRNA
Rfam family: Bacterial small subunit ribosomal RNA
Source: RNAcentral